UUGUCCUACGGGGGGCAGCAGUGGGGAAUAUUGGGCAAUGGGCGAAAGCCUGACCCAGCAACGCCGCGUGAAGGAAGAAGGCUUUCGGGUUGUAAACUUCUUUUGACAGGGAAGAGCAGAAGACGGUACCUGUCGAAUAAGCCACGGCUAACUACGUGCCAGCAGCCGCGGUAAUACGUAGGUGGCAAGCGUUGUCCGGAUUUAUUGGGUGUAAAGGGCGUGUAGGCGGGAGCGCAAGUCAGAUGUGAAAACUCAGGGCUCAACCCUGAGCCUGCAUUUGAAACUGUGUUUCUUGAGUGCUGGAG
RNAcentral lists this ribosomal RNA (305 nucleotides) under uncultured bacterium. Its description in RNAcentral is "bacterial SSU rRNA". It matches the Rfam family "Bacterial small subunit ribosomal RNA", at positions 334 to 654 of the family's 1533-position model. The record is from RNAcentral.